RNAcentral lists this ribosomal RNA (523 nucleotides) under uncultured bacterium. Its description in RNAcentral is "partial 16S ribosomal RNA". It matches the Rfam family "Bacterial small subunit ribosomal RNA", at positions 28 to 523 of the family's 1533-position model. The record is from RNAcentral.
GACGAACGCUGGCGGCGUGCCUAAUACAUGCAAGUCGAACGCUUUUUCUUUCACCGGAGCUUGCUCCACCGAAAGAAAAAGAGUGGCGAACGGGUGAGUAACACGUGGGUAACCUGCCCAUCAGAAGGGGAUAACACUUGGAAACAGGUGCUAAUACCGUAUAACACUAUUUUCCGCAUGGAAGAAAGUUGAAAGGCGCUUUUGCGUCACUGAUGGAUGGACCCGCGGUGCAUUAGCUAGUUGGUGAGGUAACGGCUCACCAAGGCAACGAUGCAUAGCCGACCGGAGAGGGGGAUCGGCCACGCUGGGACUGAGACACGGCCCAGACUCCUACGGGAGGCAGCAGUAGGGAAUCUUCGGCAAUGGACGAAAGUCUGACCGAGCAACGCCGCGUGAGUGAAGAAGGUUUUCGGAUCGUAAAACUCUGUUGUUAGAGAAGAACAAGGAUGAGAGUAGAACGUUCAUCCCUUGACGGUAUCUAACCAGAAAGCCACGGCUAACUACGUGCCAGCAGCCGCCGUAA